This 77-nucleotide transfer RNA is filed under the name Vibrio metoecus. RNAcentral describes it as "tRNA-Pro". It matches the Rfam family "tRNA". Rfam says of the family: Transfer RNA (tRNA) molecules are approximately 80 nucleotides in length. Their secondary structure includes four short double-helical elements and three loops (D, anti-codon, and T loops). The record is from RNAcentral. Lineage: Bacteria; Pseudomonadati; Pseudomonadota; Gammaproteobacteria; Vibrionales; Vibrionaceae.
CGGUGAAUAGCGCAGUUUGGUAGCGCAUCUGGUUUGGGACCAGAGGGGCGGGGGUUCGAAUCCCUCUUCACCGACCA